GACGAACGCUGGCGGCGUGCCUAACACAUGCAAGUCGAACGAACAGCGACUAGUUGCUUGCUACUGGUGAAGGUGAGUGGCGAACGGGUGAGUAACACGCGGGUCACCUAUCUCAUAGUGGGGGAUAACAGUCGGAAACGACCGCUAAUACCGCCUAGGACAUAGGAUCACAUGAUUAUGUGUGGCGAGGUGGCGCAAGCUAUCGCUCAGUGAUGGACCUGCGGUGCAUUAGCUAGUUGGUAGGGUAAAGGCCUACCAAGGCGAUGAUGCAUAGCCGACCUGAGAGGGUGAUCGGCCACAGUGGGACUGAGACACGGCCCAAACUCCUACGGGAGGCAGCAGUAGGGAAGCGUGGGCAAAGGGCGCAAGACUGACCGAGCAACGCCGCGUGGAUGAAGAAGGUCUUCGGGUCGUAAAGCGCUGUUGUGGGGGAAGAACAGCGUAUAGAGGAACUAAGAUGCUUGUGACGGUACCAAAACAAAAAGCCACGGCUAACUACGUG
RNAcentral lists this ribosomal RNA (502 nucleotides) under uncultured bacterium. RNAcentral's name for it is "partial 16S ribosomal RNA". It matches the Rfam family "Bacterial small subunit ribosomal RNA", at positions 28 to 507 of the family's 1533-position model. The record is from RNAcentral.